Molecule: ribosomal RNA, 268 nt
Filed under: uncultured bacterium
Lineage: Bacteria
Description: partial 16S ribosomal RNA
Rfam family: Bacterial small subunit ribosomal RNA
Source: RNAcentral
UACGGAGGGUGCAAGCGUUAUCCGGAUUCAUUGGGUUUAAAGGGUGCGUAGGCGGGUUUCUAAGUCAGUGGUGAAAACCUACAGCUUAACUGUAGAACUGCCAUUGAUACUGGAAGCCUUGAAUACGGUUGAGGUAGGCGGAAUGUGUAAUGUAGCGGUGAAAUGCUUAGAUAUUACACAGAACACCGAUUGCGAAGGCAGCUUACUAAGCCGUAAUUGACGCUGAGGCACGAAAGCGUGGGGAGCAAACAGGAUUAGAACCGGUACC